ACUGCUUUCAUUUGUCUUGUUUCUCCCGAGCCUGCAGAAUGCGGCCGCCUUCUGCACACACUAUCUUCAGAGACAGUAAGAAACAAAUACACUAACCAUAGUGGAGGUUUAAAGCUCGAAUGUGUCUGAAUCUGAGCUGUGACUGACUCUGCACACUGCAUAGAGCUUUUUUUUUCACUUCUGUUGAAUAAAUUCUCACCUAACUACUGCAAAGCAGGAAAGCCCAUAGUAAUUGCAUCCUCUCUCUCUUCUGACUUGAUUUAAGAAGAAUAAAUCAAUAAAAUAUAAGCCACGCUUCCCAUUCACUCCAUUAUCAGUCUUGGAGGAAAUAGACCAACUAAGAGUCACCUUGCUUCUCCUGGACAGGAGCUAGUGAUUACAAUGAGGGAAAUAAUCAAAGCUGGUUGAGGUGUUGGGCUGCAAUACUAGUCUUUCUUGUUUAGAUGUAUUAAAUCUGAUUUAGUAUGAUGACUUUCCCUAUAAGAAAAAAAAGAGUUUGCAAUUUACUAACCAUAACUCAGACAAGAGGCAUCAUUCUCACCAUACCAGUCAUUAAUUAUAUACAUCCUUAGGAAGAAUAUGAGGGAUAUUGAGAAUAGCCUACCCUUGACCAGGUGUUGCAGAACUAGGGAAUUAAUUAUUUAUGCAACUUCUUUCAUUCCAUUGAUUUAGGUACAACACUAAGGAAAUAACAUUUUAAAAGAGAAGGUUAUGCUUAGUAAUGUUUAAUCCAGUCAAAGCAUGAAGAUGAGGCAGGAGAUUUGUAGCAAGCUGUCUCUAGAUUAGCCAUUAGUCCAAAUGCCUUUAGGCAAGCCAGUAAUAAUAGUAAGGGGCUGAUAAAUACAUAUAAAAAAAUGUCCCACAUACCCCAGAAAGGAAGAUUUCAAUCAUAAUGGUAACAAAACACAAGUCUAGGAAUAAAUUUAAUUAUUUUAAGCAGUGCUUUACCGAGAAUUAAAGACAUUUAUAAAUAGCAAUAAAUAGUAUGUUCUUAAUCAAAUUAUCAAAUAUACACGUUAAGGAGUUUUGUUCUCCACAAAUCAAUUUAUAAUUUAAUUCAAUUACAAAGUUUAAAUCAAAAUAUGAAUAAAUAGCAGAAUUCACCUUUUCUUAUUUCUGUCAUAAACAUCUACUGAUAAUCAACUAUGUGAAAAAGUUUGUGCUAGGUACUACAGAUAAAGCAGCAAAUAAGACACAGAACUCUGUCUUCUAAAUUCUAUGCAAGAGUAAAUGUAAACAGAUACAGAAUUUCGUAAAGAGAAUAGAUUUUUGAAUUUUAUAUAAAGCUCACAUUCUCAAAUCACCUCCUAUCCUAAUUUAAUUCAAAGACACACAAAAAAAUUCCAUCAAUGGACACUAAAGGAAGACCUAUGUCACAUUUUCUCAAUAAGAAAGUGGUACAUAAAAAGCACAUAAAACAGGCUGACAACUUUUACCACAAAUUUACAGGAAGAAAAUUACUAUAAAGCUGUACUUUAUUACUAUCUCUUGCAGGACAAUUAAAAAAGCAGAUGUUUGAGGAGAAGACUUGAUGAAUGGGGAAUGCUCAAUUCAAGAUGUAAUGAAGGAACUAGAGACCUUGAUUGCGAUGUUGGACAUACCAAAAAAGAUGUGUUCCCUGACACUGAAUAGGUGCACUUCACAGUCACCGGAUCCCCUUCUGUGACAGUGACCUGAUCUUCUGGCGGAGUCAUUGACUGAGCUCUCAGUCCACCUAUAAAUUAAUCCAUAACGCAUCAGAGAAACUGCUGAAAAAGAAUCUCUUCAUGGAUUUCCUGCCUCUGUGUCCUCCAGAGCACAGUAGUAAAUGGCUGCAUCUGCCAUCUGCACCUGGAGGAUAAGCAGUGAUGAAGAGAACCGCUCAUAUGUCAUG
Aethalodelphis obliquidens (Pacific white-sided dolphin) is the source of this 1873-nucleotide long non-coding RNA. RefSeq lists it as uncharacterized. The record is from RefSeq and is a predicted model, not a curated record. NCBI's taxonomy places the organism in Eukaryota, Metazoa, Chordata, Mammalia, Artiodactyla, Delphinidae. The transcript has 3 exons.